GAUGAACGCUGGCGGCGUGCUUAACACAUGCAAGUCGAACGGUGAAGCCAAGCUUGCUUGGUGGAUCAGUGGCGAACGGGUGAGUAACACGUGAGCAACCUGCCCUGGACUCUGGGAUAAGCGCUGGAAACGGCGUCUAAUACUGGAUAUGAGCUUCUACCGCAUGGUGGGGGGUGGCAAGCUGUUUUGGUCUGGGAUGGGAUCGCGGCCUAUCAGCUUGUUGGUGAGGUAAUGGCUCACCAAGGCGUCGAGGGGUCGCCUGCCUGAGAGGGGUACCGGCCACACUGGGACUGAGACACGGACCAGACUCCUACGGGAGGCAGCAGUGGGGAAUAUUGCACAAUGGGCGAAAGCCUGAUGCAGCAACGCCGCGUGAGGGAUGACGGCCUUCGGGUUGUAAACCUCUUUUAGCAGGGAAGAAGCGAAAGUGACGGUACCUGCAGAAAAAGCGCCGGCUAACUACGUGCCAGCAGCCGCCGUAA
This 482-nucleotide ribosomal RNA is filed under the name uncultured bacterium. RNAcentral's name for it is "partial 16S ribosomal RNA". It matches the Rfam family "Bacterial small subunit ribosomal RNA", at positions 28 to 523 of the family's 1533-position model. The record is from RNAcentral.